UACGUAGGGGGCAAGCGUUGUCCGGAAUCAUUGGGCGUAAAGAGCGUGUAGGCGGUCCGUUAAGUCGGCUGUGAAAGUCCAGGGCUCAACCCUGGGAUGCCGGUCGAUACUGCCGGACUAGAGUUCGGAAGAGGCGAGUGGAAUUCCCGGUGUAGCGGUGAAAUGCGUAGAUAUCAGGAAGAACACCCGUGGCGAAGGCGGCUCUCUGGGACGGUACUGACGCUGAGACGCGAAAGCGUGGGGAGCGAACAGG
Molecule: ribosomal RNA, 253 nt
Filed under: uncultured bacterium
Lineage: Bacteria
Description: partial 16S ribosomal RNA
Rfam family: Bacterial small subunit ribosomal RNA
Source: RNAcentral